UAGUCCACGCCGUAAACGAUGAGUGCUAGAUAUCGGAAGGUUUACUUUCGGUUUCACAGCUAACGCGUUAAGCACUCCGCCUGGGGAGUACGGUCGCAAGAUUAAAACUCAAAGGAAUUGACGGGGGCUCGCACAAGUGGUGGAGCAUGCGGUUUAAUUCGAUGCUACGCGAAAAACCUUACCAACCCUUGACAUGGUGAUCGCGGAUUCUAGAGAUAGAAUCCUUCAGUUCGGCUGGAUCACACACAGGUGUUGCAUGGCUGUCGUCAGCUCGUGUCGUGAGGUGUUGGGUUAAGUCCCGCAACGAGCGCAACCCUUAUCCUUAUUUGCCAGCACGUAAUGGUGGGAACUCUAAGGAGACUGCCGGUGACAAACCGGAGGAAGGUGGGGAUGACGUCAAGUCAUCAUGGCCCUUACGGCCAGGGCUACACACGUGCUACAAUGGUAGGUACAGAGGGUUGCCAACCCGCGAGGGGGAGCGUAAUCUCAGAAAGCCUAUCUCAGUCCGGA
Molecule: ribosomal RNA, 510 nt
Filed under: uncultured bacterium
Lineage: Bacteria
Description: bacterial SSU rRNA
Rfam family: Bacterial small subunit ribosomal RNA
Source: RNAcentral